Molecule: ribosomal RNA, 391 nt
Filed under: uncultured bacterium
Lineage: Bacteria
Description: bacterial SSU rRNA
Rfam family: Bacterial small subunit ribosomal RNA
Source: RNAcentral
GACGAACGCUGGCGGCGUGCUUAACACAUGCAAGUCGAGCGGUAAGGCCCUUUCGGGGGUACACGAGCGGCGAACGGGUGAGUAACACGUGGGUGACCUGCCCUCAGCUCUGGGAUAAGCCUGGGAAACUGGGUCUAAUACUGGAUAUGACUCCACGGUGCAUGUCGGUGGGGUGGAAACGCCUUGUGCGGCUGAGGAUGGGCCCGCGGCCUAUCAGCUUGUUGGUGGGGUGANGGCCUACCAAGGCGACGACGGGUAGCCGGCCUGAGAGGGCGACCGGCCACACUGGGACUGAGACACCGGCCCAGACUCCUACGGGAGGCAGCAGUGGGGAAUCUUGCGCAAUGGGCGAAAGCCUGACGCAGCGACGCCGCGUGAGGGAUGACGGCCU